CGGGCUAUAGCGCAGUUGGCUAGCGCGCAGGGCUGGGGGUCCUGAGGUCGCGGGUUCGAGUCCCGCUAGCCCGA
This 74-nucleotide transfer RNA is filed under the name Candidatus Uhrbacteria bacterium. RNAcentral's name for it is "tRNA-Pro". It matches the Rfam family "tRNA". Rfam says of the family: Transfer RNA (tRNA) molecules are approximately 80 nucleotides in length. Lineage: Bacteria; Candidatus Uhriibacteriota. The record is from RNAcentral.